UCAGGAUCUCAUCUCUAAACCACUCUUGACCGGGAUCAAUCCAGAAGAGACCCGGAUCAACCUAGACGAUGCCCGGGUCACAAUUGAAAUGAACCAGUUAAAGUGCAUCGAUGUCCCGGUGACCGCAGACCAUGUUACAUAUCUAACCAACAUAGAGUUGGCCGAAGCAAUCCGGUUAUACCAGGAACAACGAGCCGAGAACCUCAAAGGACCCAGGUUGAUUCCUGAUUCCGAAGACUUUGAAAAUUCCCGCCAAUCCCGGGGUUCCGUCUUUGACCGGAUUGGUGACAAAGUAAGGUAAAAGAAGCAGAGAGAAAGUGAUGCCACAAGGCGAAAGAUCCUGGCCAAAAAAAAAAGAACACAUCCGGAGAGAAGAAGAAGAAAAGCUAGAGCAAAAAAUUCAAAGAAGGAUCCAGUUAUAAGAAGAAAGGCUCAUGAGCAAGUCCCGCUCCAAACGAUCUAGGAAUGAGCCAACCCAAGAGCUGAUCUAAGACCAUGAGAAUAACGAGUAUCAGACCAAUCUAUGGGACAUGAUCCAUGAGCUGUAGAAGAAAGUUAGAAGGGACUCCGGGUACGGGAGUAUGAUAAUGAGGCACUCUCGGCUUAUAUGAGAUGUCUUCAAGAAGCAAUCAGCAAGAAGUUUUUCUAAGCAACCAUACUAGUCCUGACUUAGAUGAGUCCGGACUACGCAAUCAUACUAGCCCUGAUUCAAUAAUGAGUCCGGACCAAGCAAUCAUACUUGGAAAAAAAAUUUCUAAGACAAACAAUCAAAAGCUACCCCGGUCCAGUUAUGACAUAUCUCUUACUUGGAAAAAUUAUUUUCCAAGGCAAACAAACAAAAAGCUACCCGGGUUCAAUCAUGAUCUAUCUCUUACUUGGAAAAAUUUUCCAAGGCAAAAAGCAAAAGCUACCUCGGUUCAAUUUUGAGAACCCGAGUACCCCGGUUCAAUCAUGAGCUAUCUUACUUGGAAAAAUUUUCCAAGGCAAAAAGCAAAGUUCAAUUUUGAGAACCCGAGUACCCCGGUUCAAUCAUGAGCUAUCUCUUACUUGGAAAUUAUUUCUAAGGCAAACAAACAAAAGCUACCCCGGUCCAGUUAUGACAUAUCUCUUACUUGGAAAAAUUAUUUUCCAAGGCAAACAAACAAAAAGCUACCCGGGUUCAAUCAUGAUCUAUCUCUUACUUGGAAAAAUUUUCCAAGGCAAAAAGCAAAAGCUACCCCGGUUCAAUUUUGAGAACCCGAGUACCCCGGUUCAAUCAUGAGCUAUCUCUUACUUGGAAAAAAAAAAAAUUCCAAGGCAAACAAGCAAAAGCUACCCCGGUCCAGUUAUGACCUAUCUCUUACUUAGAAAAAUUUUCUAAGGAAAAAAAGCAAAAGCUACCCCGGUUCAAUUUUGAGUACCCCGGUUCAAUCAUGAGCUAUCUUAUUUGGAAAAAAUUUUCUAAGGCAAACAAGUAAAAGCUACCCGGGUUCAAUCAUGAGCUAUCUCUUACUUGGAAAAAAAUUUCCAAGGCAAACAAGCAAAAGCUACCCCGGUCCAGUUAUGACCUAUCUCUUACUUAGAAAAAUUUUUCGAAGGAAAAAAAGCAAAAGCUACCCCGGUUCAAUUUUGAGUACCCCGGUUCAAUCAUGAGCUAUCUUACUUGGAAAAAUUUUUCUAAGGCAAACAAACAAAAAGCUACCCCGGUCCAGUUAUGACAUAUCUCUUACUUGGAAAAAUUAUUUUCCAAGGCAAACAAACAAAAAGCUACCCGGGUUCAAUCAUGAUCUAUCUCUUACUUGGAAAAAUUAUUUCCCAAGGCAAACAAACAAAAAGCUACCCGCGUUCAAUCAUGAUCUAUCUCUUACUUGGAAAAAUUAUUUUCCAAGGCAAACAAACAAAAAGCUACCCGGGUUCAAUCAUAAGCUAUCUCUUACUUGGAAAAAUUAUUUUCCAAGGCAAACAAACAAAAAGCUACCCGGGUUCAAUCAUGAUCUAUCUCUUACUUGGAAAAAUUUUUUUCCAAGGCAAACAAACAAAAAGCUACCCGGGUUCAAUCAUGAUCUAUCUCUUACUUGGAAAAAUUAUUUUCCAAGGCAAACAAACAAAAAGCUACCCGGGUUCAAUCAUGAUCUAUCUCUUACUUGGAAAAAUUUUUUUCCAAGGCAAACAAACAAAAAGCUACCCGGGUUCAAUCAUGAUCUAUCUCUUACUUGGAAAAAUUAUUUUCCAAGGCAAACAAACAAAAAGCUACCCGGGUUCAAUCAUGAUCUAUCUCUUACUUGGAAAAAUUUUCCAAGGCAAAAAGCAAAAGCUACCCCGGUUCAAUUUUGAGAACCCGAGUACCCCGGUUCAAUCAUGAGCUAUCUUACUUGGAAAAAUUUUUCUAAGGCAAACAAAGCAAAAGCUACCCCGGUCCAGUUAUGACCUAUCUCUUACUUAGAAAAAUUUUCUAAGGAAAAAAAGCAAAAGCUACCCCGGUUCAAUUUUGAGUACCCCGGUUCAAUCAUGAGCUAUCUUGGAAAAAUUUUUCUAAGGCAAACAAACAAAAAGCUACCCCGGUUCAAUUUUGAGUACCCCGGUUCAAUCAUGAGCUAUCUUACUUGGAAAAAAUUUUCUAAG
This 2601-nucleotide long non-coding RNA is filed under the name Daucus carota (carrot). Its description in RNAcentral is "long non-coding RNA (DCAR_LNC004385)". Lineage: Eukaryota; Viridiplantae; Streptophyta; Magnoliopsida; Apiales; Apiaceae. The record is from RNAcentral.